Molecule: small RNA, 117 nt
Filed under: Pongo abelii (Sumatran orangutan)
Lineage: Eukaryota; Metazoa; Chordata; Mammalia; Primates; Hominidae
Description: Metazoan signal recognition particle RNA (ENSPPYG00000036371.1)
Source: Rfam by way of RNAcentral
GCCAGGUGUGGUGGCUCACGCCUGUAAUCCCAGCACUUUGGGAGGCCGAGGUGGGGGGAUCACCUGAGGUCAGGAGUUCAAGACCAGCCUGGCUAACAUGGUGAAACCCCAUCUCUA